UACAGAGGGUGCAAGCGUUGUUCGGAAUUAUUGGGCGUAAAGCGCGUGUAGGCGGCUGAAUAAGUCGGGUGUGAAAGCCCUCGGCUCAACCGAGGAAGUGCGCCCGAAACUGUUUUGCUUGAGUCCCGGAGAGGGUGGCGGAAUUCCCCAAGUAGAGGUGAAAUUCGUAGAUAUGGGGAGGAACACCGGUGGCGAAGGCGGCCACCUGGCCGGAUACUGACGCUGAGACGCGAAAGCGUGGGUAGCAAACAGGAUUAGAUACCCUGGUAGUCCACGCUGUAAACGAUGAGAACUAGGUGUCGUGGGUGUUGACCCCCGCGGUGCCGUAGCUAACGCAUUAAGUUCUCCGCCUGGGAAGUACGGCCGCAAGGCUAAA
This 376-nucleotide ribosomal RNA is filed under the name uncultured bacterium. RNAcentral describes it as "bacterial SSU rRNA". It matches the Rfam family "Bacterial small subunit ribosomal RNA", at positions 524 to 898 of the family's 1533-position model. The record is from RNAcentral.